This 495-nucleotide ribosomal RNA is filed under the name uncultured bacterium. Its description in RNAcentral is "bacterial SSU rRNA". It matches the Rfam family "Bacterial small subunit ribosomal RNA", at positions 31 to 507 of the family's 1533-position model. The record is from RNAcentral.
GAACGCUGGCGGCGUGCCUAAUACAUGCAAGUCGAACGCACAGCGAAAGGUGCUUGCAACCUUUCAAGUGAGUGGCGAACGGGUGAGUAACACGUGGACAACCUGCCUCAAGGCUGGGGAUAACAUUUGGAAACAGAUGCUAAUACCGAAUAAAACUUAGUGUCGCAUGACACAAAGUUAAAAGGCGCUUCGGCGUCACCUAGAGAUGGAUCCGCGGUGCAUUAGUUAGUUGGUGGGGUAAAGGCCUACCAAGACAAUGAUGCAUAGCCGAGUUGAGAGACUGAUCGGCCACAUUGGGACUGAGACACGGCCCAAACUCCUACGGGAGGCUGCAGUAGGGAAUCUUCCACAAUGGGCGAAAGCCUGAUGGAGCAACGCCGCGUGUGUGAUGAAGGCUUUCGGGUCGUAAAGCACUGUUGUAUGGGAAGAACAGCUAGAAUAGGAAAUGAUUUUAGUUUGACGGUACCAUACCAGAAAGGGACGGCUAAAUACGUG